UCUGGUUGAUCCUGCCAGAGGCCACUGCUAUCAGAGUUCGAUUAAGCCAUGCGAGUCGAGAGGUGCAAGACCUCGGCAUACUGCUCAGUAACACGUGGAUAACCUACCCUCAGGUGGGGGAUAACCCCGGAAAACUGGGGAUAAUACCCCAUAGAUCAGGGACGCUGGAAUGCCUCCUGGUCGAAAGGUGCGCCGCCUGAGGAUGGGUCUGCGGCCGAUUAGGUUGUUGUUGGGGUAACGGCCCAACAAGCCGGUAAUCGGUACGGGUUGUGGGAGCAGGAGCCCGGAGAUGGAUUCUGAGACACGAAUCCAGGCCCUACGGGGCGCAGCAGGCGCGAAAACUUUACAAUGCGGGAAACCGUGAUAAGGGAACUCUGAGUGCCCGUAAAAUCGGGCUGUCCAUCAGUGUAAAAAACUGGUGAAGAAAGGGCCGGGCAAGACCGGUGCCAGCCGCCGCGGUAAUACCGGCGGCUCGAGUGGUGGCCACUAUUAUUGGGCUUAAAGCGUCCGUAGCAGGGUUGUUAAGUCUCUUGGGAAAUCUACCGGCUCAACCGAUAGGCGUUCAGGGGAUACUGGCAACCUAGGGACCGGAAGAGGUGAGAGGUACUCCAGGGGUAGGAGUGAAAUCCUGUAAUCCUUGGGGGACCACCUGUGGCGAAGGCGUCUCACCAGGACGGCUCCGACUGUGAGGGACGAAAGCUGGGGGAGCAAACCGGAUUAGAUACCCGGGUAGUCCCAGCUGUAAACGAUGCGCGUUAGGUGUAUCGGUGACCACGAGUCACCGAGGUGCCGAAGAGAAAUCGUGAAACGUGCCGCCUGGGAAGUACGGUCGCAAGGCUGAAACUUAAAGGAAUUGGCGGGGGAGCACCACAACGGGGUGGAGCCUGCGGUUUAAUUGGAUUCAAC
This 906-nucleotide ribosomal RNA is filed under the name uncultured Methanolinea sp. RNAcentral describes it as "bacterial SSU rRNA". It matches the Rfam family "Archaeal small subunit ribosomal RNA", at positions 1 to 916 of the family's 1478-position model. Lineage: Archaea; Methanobacteriati; Methanobacteriota; Methanomicrobia; Methanomicrobiales; Methanoregulaceae. The record is from RNAcentral.